UCAGGGAUCAAUACUAGGUCCGCUACUCUUUAUUUUAUAUAUAAAUGAUCUCCCAAAUGCAUUGGAAUUGGCCAAAUCGUUUCUUUUUGCUGAUGACACAAGCGUAUAUUAUUCACAUCUGGAUAUUAAAAAUCUCGAGAUUAUCUUAAAUCGUGAACUGGCAAACCUAGAUGUUUGGAUGAAAUCAAACAAAUUAUCUGUAAAUAUUAGUAAAACUAAUUAUGUUAUCUUUCGGCCCUGCAGACAAAGAAAAUUUAAUAUAAAUUUAUGUCUCCAGUACAACAAUCAAACCCUAACCCAGAGGCAAUGUAUCAAAUUCUUAGGUGUGUAUAUUGAUGAGAAUUUGUCGUGGAAAAUUCACAUAAAUAAUAUUUGUAAAAAGAUAGCGAAAUCUGUUGGAAUUAUCUACAGGUCUCGCCAUCUUUUAUCACCUACAACAAAGUUAUGCUUAUAUUAUACUCUUAUAUAUCCUUAUCUAACCUAUUGUAAUAUUGUAUGGUCCUCUACUUAUGUAACCAAUCUAAACAGAAUUUAUCUUCUACAAAAACGGGUUGUAAGAGCUCUGACGAACUCUGACUACCGUGCCCACUCCUCUCCGUUAUUCUAUCAGUUAAAAAUAUUAGAUAUAUUUAAAUUGAAUUCCUUUUACAUGGGUAAAUUUAUGUAUAAAUACCACUAUCACUUGUUACCUGAAUGUUUCGAUAACUUAUUUAUCACAAACAAUCAAGUACAUAGCUAUAACACUAGAUCGGCUACAUAUUACAGACCUCACGCGUGUCGGACAAACAUAAAGCAAUUUACUAUUCUUUCUGUUGGUCCGAAUACAUGGAAUUCUUUUCCACCAUAUAUUACGGCUAAAACCACCAUUUCCUCUUUCAAGAAUCAAUUAUGCAUUUUCCUACUUGAAAAUUAUAAUAUCGUAUGGACGUCGAAAUCGACAUGUUUUAGUUAACUUGUAUAUUAUGUAGUAAUGUAUGUGUGUUUUGAACUUGUACAAAGAUAUGAUCUUAAUUAUUCUGAGUUAUCACAGUGCAGGGCCUUUUUUAACAUAUAAGCUGGGGGGGCAUUUGCCCCCCCCCCAGUCCACCCUUGUGCCCCCCCCACGAAAUCACAUUUUGCCCCCCCAGGAAAAGUCCCUUUUUCCUAAAAUUAUACAAACAAUCCAGCGAAGAUUAACAAAUAGAUAAACGGAAAGUAAGUUUUAGGCUUUAGCCUUUGUUCUUGUUUAACAAAAUCGAUUUAAAUUGUUACUUUUUUUACCAAUAAGCCAUGAUAAAUUAUUGUUAAUAUUUUUUUUUUGGAUGCUCAGAAUGCAGAAAAUAGCAUUUCACUGUUUCAAAUUUCAAAAAUUUUCUUGGGAUUACCCCUCUAAUAAGUAAUGAUAAAUUACAGUUAAUAUUCUUUUUUACUUUUUGUGCAUUUUUCCAUCUUUUAUUUCAAAUACAACUAUAGUUAGCAUAAAUUUUAGAGCAAAUUUGGAUGCUCGGAAUGCAGGAAAUGGCAUUUCCGUGGUUCAAAUUUCAAACAUUUUCUGGGGGAGUACACCCCCACACACCUGACCAUUGCUAUCCUCCUCUAAUAAGUAAUGAUAAAUGAUGGUUAAUUUUUUUUUACUUUUUGUGUGUUUCUUCCUUUAUUUAUUUCAAAUACAAGUAUAGUUAGGAUAAAUUUUGGAGCAAAAUUGGAUGCUCAGAAUGCAGGAAAUGACAUUUACGGGAGUCAAAUUUCAAAAAUUUUCUGGGGGAGUCCCAGACCCCCCAUUCAUGCGUGGUAUAUUUGCCACACACGUGGCUUUCAGCCAUUGCUAUCCCCCUCUAAUAUAUUAUCGAG
Non-coding RNA from Paramuricea clavata, 1830 nucleotides. The record is from the annotation of a GenBank genome assembly. Lineage: Eukaryota; Metazoa; Cnidaria; Anthozoa; Malacalcyonacea; Plexauridae.